GGGUUCGUAGCUCAGUUGGUUAGAGCGCACGCCUGAUAAGCGUGAGGUCGGAGGUUCGAAUCCUCCCGAGCCCACCA
This 77-nucleotide transfer RNA is filed under the name Thermosipho africanus TCF52B. RNAcentral's name for it is "tRNA-Ile (GAT) (tRNA-Ile-GAT-1-1)". It matches the Rfam family "tRNA". Rfam says of the family: Transfer RNA (tRNA) molecules are approximately 80 nucleotides in length. Their secondary structure includes four short double-helical elements and three loops (D, anti-codon, and T loops). Lineage: Bacteria; Thermotogati; Thermotogota; Thermotogae; Thermotogales; Fervidobacteriaceae. The record is from RNAcentral.